RNAcentral lists this ribosomal RNA (497 nucleotides) under uncultured bacterium. RNAcentral describes it as "partial 16S ribosomal RNA". It matches the Rfam family "Bacterial small subunit ribosomal RNA", at positions 28 to 507 of the family's 1533-position model. The record is from RNAcentral.
GAUGAACGCUGGCGGCGUGCCUAAUACAUGCAAGUCGAGCGAACAGACGCGGCGCUUGCUCCUCUCACGUUAGCGGCGGACGGGUGAGUAACACGUGGAUAACCUACCUAUCAGACUGGGAUAACCUCGGGAAACCGGCGCUAAUACCGGAUAAGAUCUUGCACCGCAUGGUUCAAUGGUGAAAGACGGCUUUGCUGUCUGUUCUCGAUGGAUCCGCGCUGCAUUAGCUAGUUGGUACGGUAAAGGCUUACCACGGGGAGCAUGCGUAGACGACCUGCGAGAGGGAUCGGCCACAUUGGAACGGAGACAGGGUCCAGACUCCUACGGGAGGGAGCAGUAGGGAAUCGUACGCAAUGGUCGGAAGCCUUGCGGAGCAACGCGGCGUGAGUGAUGGAGGUCUUCGGAGCGGGAAGCUGGGUUAUGAGGUAAGAACAACUGUGGAAGUAGCUGUGGAGGGCGUGACGGUAACGAGUCAGAAAGCCCCGGCUAACUACGUG